AUGAAAAAAAUCACCCAGCAAUGAACUUCUCAGAACAUAUCCCCAUUGUUAGGAGGCGCACGACUGUAUUUAGUCCAACAACUUGCUGAAAUGUGAUUCUACCAUUUUUCCAGUCAACUCCUAAGUUUUAAAUACCAUACAUCUGCCACCUUACCAGGCAGUUUCAACCAUAACAACAGAAGAAUACUCUUGGCAAAUAGAUCCCACUCUCUGAGGGUUGUGUUGGGGCUCAGAAAAUACUACCCCGAAGUAUGACACUUUGGCAUGCUGAAUACUUUGAACUAAAAGAGAUUGGAAGGCCUCAGAAGCAGCCUCGGAAGCAGUCUCUCCCUCUGAUCUCCUGCCCUUCUGUCUCCUGCCCAUCUUUCGUCCCAGAAGUGAGUCACAGAAACCAGAAUUCUUCCCCAAGACAGGCUGAGCUGCUUUGUGAGGGAGUAACAUCUCCAUGACAGCAAGGUGCAAGCGGAGAUAAGACAACCACCUGGGUCAGGAACUUGUAGAGAGGAUUCCUACAUGGAGUGGGAGACUGAAAUAAUAACCUCAAAGAUGCCUUCCAAUCAGAAGAUUUGGUGAUUCUUUCUGAGUUAUCAAACUGCCUUCCUUUGACCUUGCUCACAUGUAGAAAUCCAAGUCAGCGCAGCUUAACUUGGACUCACCACCUAUCAAGUGCUCGACAGCCACGUGUGCAGUGGUUCCUACGUGGAGCAGCAUACAUCCAGAGAUGCAAAUAUUAAUGAGGACAGUGCUAGUAACAGAGUUGCUGAGCAAUCUAUGUCCCCUUGUAAGAACCAGUGCCCCAGGGGAAGAAACAGAACUCCACAAGGUAGCAGUGUGGGUGUAGUACCCGCAUGUGCCCAUGUUAUGGGAAUGUAGAUGGGGAGUGACCACCGCCAACAGAAGUGUGGCCAUCUUGCCCGAGAUGCCUGAGGACCUCCUAUUUUUAGAUGCUGCUGCCCAAGGCCUGUAUUUCAUGCUAUGGCUUUUGUCAUUUGAAUUAUCAGUAGCUGUCUCGGAGCUAUUACGCUUCACUGGGCCCUGGAGGAUAUUGUCUUAUACAGUCCACUGGGUUUUGGAUAUGCAGUCUGUGCCUUUCAUUGCCUUCCUGGAAAAUAAUAACUAAACUCUUCCUCACCAGG
This 1136-nucleotide long non-coding RNA is filed under the name Homo sapiens (human). RNAcentral describes it as "HSALNT0366215". The record is from RNAcentral. Lineage: Eukaryota; Metazoa; Chordata; Mammalia; Primates; Hominidae.